AUGUACCCACGUACACUCCGGUUCCUCCGCGCCGUCCGCACCCACCUGACGACUGCUCGCUACGGUUUGUUAGCC
This 75-nucleotide small RNA is filed under the name Xanthomonas campestris. Its description in RNAcentral is "sX9 sRNA". It matches the Rfam family "Xanthomonas sRNA sX9". RNAcentral also lists the same sequence under 1 other name. The record is from RNAcentral. Lineage: Bacteria; Pseudomonadati; Pseudomonadota; Gammaproteobacteria; Lysobacterales; Lysobacteraceae.